CCUGGCUCAGGAUGAACGCUGGCGGCGUGCCUAACACAUGCAAGUCGAGCGAAGCACUUUGCUUAGAUUCUUCGGAUGAAGAGGAUUGUGACUGAGCGGCGGACGGGUGAGUAACGCGUGGGUAACCUGCCUCAUACAGGGGGAUAACAGUUAGAAAUGACUGCUAAUACCGCAUAAGACCACAGCACCGCAUGGUGCGGGGGUAAAAACUCCGGUGGUAUGAGAUGGACCCGCGUCUGAUUAGCUGGUUGGUAAGGUAACGGCUUACCAAGGCGACGAUCAGUAGCCGACCUGGGAGGGUGACCGGCCACAUUGGGACUGAGACACGGCCCAAACUCCUACGGGAGGCAGCAGUGGGGAAUAUUGCACAAUGGGGGAAACCCUGAUGCAGCGACGCCGCGUGAGCGAAGAAGUAUUUCGGUAUGUAAAGCUCUAUCAGCAGGGAAGAAAAUGACGGUACCUGACUAAGAAGCACCGGCUAAAUACGUGCCAGCAGCCGCGGUAAUACGUAUGGUGCAAGCGUUAUCCGGAUUUACUGGGUGUAAAGGGAGCGUAGACGGAUGGGCAAGUCUGAUGUGAAAACCCGGGGCUCAACCCCGGGACUGCAUUGGAAACUGUUCAUCUAGAGUGCUGGAGAGGUAAGUGGAAUUCCUAGUGUAGCGGUGAAAUGCGUAGAUAUUAGGAGGAACACCAGUGGCGAAGGCGGCUUACUGGACAGUAACUGACGUUGAGGCUCGAAAGCGUGGGGAGCAAACAGGAUUAGAUACCUGGUAGUCCACGCCGUAAACGAUGACUACUAGGUGUCGGGUGGCAAAGCCAUUCGGUGCCGCAGCAAACGCAAUAAGUAGUCCACCUGGGGAGUACGUUCGCAAGAAUGAAACUCAAAGGAAUUGACGGGGACCCGCACAAGCGGUGGAGCAUGUGGUUUAAUUCGAAGCAACGCGAAGAACCUUACCUGCUCUUGACAUCCCGCUGACCGGACGGUAAUGCGUCCUUCCCUUCGGGGCAGCGGAGACAGGUGGUGCAUGGUUGUCGUCAGCUCGUGUCGUGAGAUGUUGGGUUAAGUCCCGCAACGAGCGCAACCCCUAUCUUUAGUAGCCAGCGGCCAGGCCGGGCACUCUAGAGAGACUGCCGGGGAUAACCCGGAGGAAGGUGGGGAUGACGUCAAAUCAUCAUGCCCCUUAUGAGCAGGGCUACACACGUGCUACAAUGGCGUAAACAAAGGGAAGCGAGACCGCGAGGUGGAGCAAAUCCCAAAAAUAACGUCUCAGUUCGGAUUGUAGUCUGCAACUCGACUACAUGAAGCUGGAAUCGCUAGUAAUCGCGAAUCAGAAUGUCGCGGUGAAUACGUUCCCGGGUCUUGUACACAAAGGCCG
Molecule: ribosomal RNA, 1376 nt
Filed under: uncultured bacterium
Lineage: Bacteria
Description: bacterial SSU rRNA
Rfam family: Bacterial small subunit ribosomal RNA
Source: RNAcentral